GGGCAAUUAGUUUAGUGGUAUAACGUCCGUUUUGCAAGUCAUAAACUACGGAAGGUCGUGAUUUCGAUUAUCACAUUGUCCA
Molecule: transfer RNA, 82 nt
Rfam family: tRNA
About the family: Transfer RNA (tRNA) molecules are approximately 80 nucleotides in length. Their secondary structure includes four short double-helical elements and three loops (D, anti-codon, and T loops).
Source: Rfam